Molecule: ribosomal RNA, 492 nt
Filed under: uncultured bacterium
Lineage: Bacteria
Description: partial 16S ribosomal RNA
Rfam family: Bacterial small subunit ribosomal RNA
Source: RNAcentral
AGUGAACGCUGGCGGUAGACCUAACACAUGCAAGUCGAACGGCAGCACAGUAAGAGCUUGCUCUUACGGGUGGCGAGUGGCGGACGGGUGAGGAAUACAUCGGAAUCUACUUUUUCGUGGGGGAUAACGUAGGGAAACUUACGCUAAUACCGCAUACGACCUACGGGUGAAAGCAGGGGAUCUUCGGACCUUGCGCGAUUGAAUGAGCCGAUGUCGGAUUAGCUAGUUGGCGGGGUAAAGGCCCACCAAGGCGACGAUCCGUAGCUGGUCUGAGAGGAUUAUCAGCCACACUGGAACUGAGACACGGUCCAGACUCCUACGGGAGGCAGCAGUGGGGAAUAUUGGACAAUGGGCGCAAGCCUGAUCCAGCCAUACCGCGUGGGUGAAGAAGGCCUUCGGGUUGUAAAGCCCUUUUGUUGGGAAAGAAAAGCAGCAGGUUAAUACCCCGCUGUUCUGACGGUACCCAAAGAAUAAGCACCGGCUAACUUCGUG